GACGAACGCUGGCGGCGUGCUUAACACAUGCAAGUCGAACGAUGAAGCCCAGCUUGCUGGGCGGAUUAGUGGCGAACGGGUGAGUAAUACGUGAGUAACCUGCCUUUAACUCUGGGAUAAGCCUUGGAAACGGGGUCUAAUACCGGAUACGACCAACCCUCGCAUGAGGUGUUGGUGGAAAGGGAUUUUGUACUGGUUUUAGAUGGGCUCACGGCCUAUCAGCUUGUUGGUGAGGUAACGGCUCACCAAGGCGACGACGGGUAGCCGGCCUGAGAGGGUGACCGGCCACACUGGGACUGAGACACGGCCCAGACUCCUACGGGAGGCAGCAGUGGGGAAUAUUGCACAAUGGGCGCAAGCCUGAUGCAGCGACGCCGCGUGAGGGAUGACGGCCUUCGGGUUGUAAACCUCUUUCAGCAGGGGAGAAGCGAAAGUGACGGUACCUGCAGAAGAAGCGCCGGCUAACUACGUGCCAGCAGCCGCGGUAAUACGUAGGGCGCGAGCGUUGUCCGGAAUUAUUGGGCGUAAAGAGCUUGUAGGCGGUUUGUCGCGUCUGCUGUGAAAGCCCGGGGCUUAACCCCGGGUUUGCAGUGGGUACGGGCAGACUAGAGUGCAGUAGGGGAGACUGGAAUUCCUGGUGUAGCGGUGAAAUGCGCAGAUAUCAGGAGGAACACCAAUGGCGAAGGCAGGUCUCUGGGCUGUAACUGACGCUGAGAAGCGAAAGCAUGGGGAGCGAACAGGAUUAGAUACCCUGGUAGUCCAUGCCGUAAACGUUGGGCACUAGGUGUGGGGAACAUUCCACGUUUUCCGCGCCGUAGCUAACGCAUUAAGUGCCCCGCCUGGGGAGUACGGCCGCAAGGCUAAAACUCAAAGAAAUUGACGGGGGCCCGCACAAGCGGCGGAGCAUGCGGAUUAAUUCGAUGCAACGCGAAGAACCUUACCAAGGCUUGACAUAUACUAGACCGCCUCAGAGAUGGGGUUUCCCUUCGGGGCUGGUAUACAGGUGGUGCAUGGUUGUCGUCAGCUCGUGUCGUGAGAUGUUGGGUUAAGUCCCGCAACGAGCGCAACCCUCGUUCUAUGUUGCCAGCACGUAAUGGUGGGGACUCAUAGGAGACUGCCGGGGUUAACUCGGAGGAAGGUGGGGAUGACGUCAAAUCAUCAUGCCCCUUAUGUCUUGGGCUUCACGCAUGCUACAGUGGCCGGUACAAAGGGUUGCGAUACUGUGAGGUUGAGCUAAUCCCAAAAAGCCGGUCUCAGUUCGGAUUGGGGUCUGCAACUCGACCCCAUGAAGUCGGAGUCGCUAGUAAUCGCAGAUCAGCAACGCUGCGGUGAAUACGUUCCCGGGCCU
This 1348-nucleotide ribosomal RNA is filed under the name uncultured bacterium. RNAcentral describes it as "bacterial SSU rRNA". It matches the Rfam family "Bacterial small subunit ribosomal RNA", at positions 28 to 1381 of the family's 1533-position model. The record is from RNAcentral.